CCUACGGGAGGCAGCAGUGAGGAAUAGUGGUCAAUGGACGAGAGUCUGAACCAGCCAAGUAGCGUGAAGGAUGACUGCCCUAUGGGUUGUAAACUUCUUUUAUAGGGGAAUAAAAUGUGCCACGUGUGGGAUGUUGGAUGUACCAUAUGAAUAAGGAUCGGCUAACUCCGUGCCAGCAGCCGCGGUAAUACGGAGGAUCCGAGCGUUAUCCGGAUUUAUGGGGUUUAAAGGGAGCGUCGGUGGAUUGUUAAGUCAGUUGUGAAAGUUUGCGGCUCAACCGUAAAAUUGCAGUUGAAACUGGCAGUCUUGCGUACAGUUGCGGUCGGCGGACUUCGUGGUGUAGCGGU
Molecule: ribosomal RNA, 347 nt
Filed under: uncultured bacterium
Lineage: Bacteria
Description: partial 16S ribosomal RNA
Rfam family: Bacterial small subunit ribosomal RNA
Source: RNAcentral